This 411-nucleotide ribosomal RNA is filed under the name uncultured bacterium. Its description in RNAcentral is "bacterial SSU rRNA". It matches the Rfam family "Bacterial small subunit ribosomal RNA", at positions 101 to 507 of the family's 1533-position model. The record is from RNAcentral.
AACGGGUGAGUAAUGCAUCGGAACGUGCCCAUCGAUGGGGGAUAACUGCGCGAAAGCGUUGCUAAUACCGCAUACGACCUACGGGUGAAAGCAGGGGACCGCAAGGCCUUGCGUCGAUGGAGCGGCCGAUGCCGGAUUAGCUAGUUGGUGAGGUAAAGGCUCACCAAGGCGACGAUCCCGUAGCUGGUCUGAGAGGACGACCAGCCACACUGGGACUGAGACACGGCCCAGACUCCUACGGGAGGCAGCAGUGGGGAAUCUUGGACAAUGGGCGAAAGCCUGAUCCAGCAAUGCCGCGUGUGGGAAGAAGGCCUUCGGGUUGUAAACCACUUUUGGCGGGAAAGAAAUGGUCUGUGCUAAUACCACGGAUUGAUGACGGUACCCGCAGAAUAAGCACCGGCUAACUACGUG